This 827-nucleotide long non-coding RNA is filed under the name Homo sapiens (human). Its description in RNAcentral is "HSALNT0402818". The record is from RNAcentral. Lineage: Eukaryota; Metazoa; Chordata; Mammalia; Primates; Hominidae.
GCCGCGUCGAGAUGCCGGAGCCCCCGGGCCUUGGAGAUGAAGGCAGGCCCCUGCUCCACCCAGGAAGGAGGGAGGCAGUGGGCUCGUGGGUCAGUGCCUUUGCAGCCGACAGCACGCCUUGCGGCCCUGGGGAAUCUUUCUGCGCCCUGGCGAGCGCCUUUCCGCCUCACUGCAUUGUAACCCCAUUCCCGAUCACCGGGUGGGAUCCAUCAUCGGAUCCCAAGAGGAGUCCGCGCAGCCCAGCCGGCACCCCGAAGCUCCUCCUUCACCGGGAACCCAAGCAGAAGACCGAUUAAGGAGGUCCUGACGACAGGACUCCUAUGGGUCCGACCCUGGGUCUCCCGCAGGCCCCUCUGGUAGUCCUCUUCCCACCCACCGCCUGGGGCUGCACCACAGCCGCCGCCGCAAGCUCCAGCACCGCCACCCCAGUCCCCGCAGCCGCGGCGUCGCCGCCAUUUUUUAAAGGGUCCGCAGCCUGACUGCCGAGUAAGGGGGGGUGGGGCGGGUGAGUCGGCCUCGCCAGCGCGCAUGCGCGAGGCCCGAGCCGCCGCUUCGGUCACAGUGACCGCCACCGUUGCCAAGGGAUGGGUCCCUGAGACUUGGCGAAGUGGGAGCCCUGUGUGAUCGUGCGUCAGAGUCGGGGCUGAGACCAGCCCCGGCCAGGGUAGUUACCGGGACGGUCUCCGGAGGCCGGGAUUCGCGGAGGGUCCACCAGCAGGAAGAAACCCCAGGAGGAAGAAACCUCAGACAGAUCGCCGGGGAGGCAGCGCGGGAUCCCAGCCUCAGGCGUGCGCGGACGGUGUGCGGGAGGGUGCCCGCAGACCUUC